Molecule: ribosomal RNA, 447 nt
Filed under: uncultured bacterium
Lineage: Bacteria
Description: SSU rRNA
Rfam family: Bacterial small subunit ribosomal RNA
Source: RNAcentral
AGAGCGAACGCUGGCGGCAGGCCUAAUACAUGCAAGUCGAACGGAUCCUUCGGGAUUAGUGGCGGACGGGUGAGUAACACGUGGGAACGUGCCCUUUGGUUCGGAACAACUCAGGGAAACUUGAGCUAAUACCGGAUGUGCCCUUCGGGGGAAAGAUUUAUCGCCAUUGGAGCGGCCCGCGUCUGAUUAGCUAGUUGGUGGGGUAAAGGCCUACCAAGGCUACGAUCAGUAGCUGGUCUGAGAGGAUGAUCAGCCACACUGGGACUGAGACACGGCCCAGACUCCUACGGGAGGCAGCAGUAGGGAAUCUUGCGCAAUGGGCGAAAGCCUGACGCAGCCAUGCCGCGUGAAUGAUGAAGGUCUUAGGAUUGUAAAAUUCUUUCAGCGGGGACGAUAAUGACGGUACCCGCAGAAGAACGCCCCGGCUAACUUCGCGCCAGCAGCCGC